CUUAAAGGAAUUGACGGGACCGCACAGCGGUGAGCAUGCGGUUUAAUUCGACGCAACGACGAAGAACCUUACCGUGGACUUGACAUCGUGGGAAUCCCUAUGAAAGUAGGGAGUGCCCUUCGGGAGCCCCAAGACAGGUGCUGCAUGGCUGUCGUCAGCUCGUGCCGUGAGGUGUCGGGUUAAGUCCCAUAACGAGCGCAACCCUUAUCGUUAGUUGCCAGCUGGUAAAGCAGGGGACUCUAGCAAAACUGCCACCGUAAGGUGAGAGGAAGGUGGGGAUGACGUCAAAUCAGCACGGCCCUUAUGUCCAGGGCUACACACGUGUUACAAUGGCCGGCACAGAGGGCAGCUACCUGGUGACAGGAUGCUAAUCUCGAAAACCGGUCUCAGUUCGGAUCGAAGUCUGCAACUCGACUUCGUGAAGCUGGAUUCGCUAGUAAUCGCGCAUCAGCCAUGGCGCGGUGAAUACGUUCCCGGGCCUU
RNAcentral lists this ribosomal RNA (482 nucleotides) under uncultured Sphingobacteriales bacterium. Its description in RNAcentral is "bacterial SSU rRNA". It matches the Rfam family "Bacterial small subunit ribosomal RNA", at positions 900 to 1382 of the family's 1533-position model. The record is from RNAcentral. Lineage: Bacteria; Pseudomonadati; Bacteroidota; Sphingobacteriia; Sphingobacteriales.